GGUCCCAUCGUCUAACGGUUAGGACAUCAGGUUCUCAUCCUGGAAAUCGGGGUUCGAUUCCCCGUGGGAUCA
Molecule: transfer RNA, 72 nt
Filed under: Candidatus Kaiserbacteria bacterium
Lineage: Bacteria; Candidatus Kaiseribacteriota
Description: tRNA-Glu
Rfam family: tRNA
About the family: Transfer RNA (tRNA) molecules are approximately 80 nucleotides in length. Their secondary structure includes four short double-helical elements and three loops (D, anti-codon, and T loops).
Source: RNAcentral